Long non-coding RNA from Amblyraja radiata (thorny skate), 129 nucleotides. RefSeq lists it as uncharacterized. The record is from RefSeq and is a predicted model, not a curated record. NCBI's taxonomy places the organism in Eukaryota, Metazoa, Chordata, Chondrichthyes, Rajiformes, Rajidae. The transcript has 2 exons.
UUGCUUCACAGGCAGGUGUGCACUCAGCUCACGCAGGUCAAACACAGCUCCGCACAUCCUCCCCUCUGGUCGCAAACGCUCACUGCAAUUGUUGUCUGCGUGUUGGGGAAACCUUUACAUGUUUAUUUA